This 261-nucleotide unclassified non-coding RNA is filed under the name Hevea brasiliensis (rubber tree). The record is from RNAcentral. Lineage: Eukaryota; Viridiplantae; Streptophyta; Magnoliopsida; Malpighiales; Euphorbiaceae.
CCGCGUUCGUUCCAGCCGAUGAACAUCAACUUCGGACUGUUUCCGCCGCUGGCUUCGCCGCCGACCAAGAAGCCGGACGGCACGCGGCUGCGCGGCAAUGAAAAGACGGUCGCGAAGAAGCAGGCGAUCAGCGCACGUGCAUUAUCGGAUCUCGAUCGGUGGAUUGCCGAUCACCGCAAUGUGGCGGAUGCGGCGUAGGUUCCUGUCGACAGCACAAAGCCGUUAUCGCGCGGCGAAGCCGGUGACCGCAGACACCACCUG